GUUUCAACUCAGCUCCCAUUCAUACUCUUCUCCUAAUCGUCUCCAAAGAGUAAAAUUUUAUUCAGAAAUGGCUUCAUCUGCUUUAAUUAGCGAUACUCAGUCAUGGAAGGAUUUGCGAGCUCAUGUUGAAGAAAUUAACAAAACUCAUUUGCGUGAUUUGUUGAAUCACACUGAUCGAUGUCAAUCAAUGAUGGUGGAGUUUGAUGGGAUUCUGAUCGAUUACUCGAGACAAAGAGCCACCCUUGAUACAUUGAAAAAGCUCUUCAAUUUAGCUGAGGCAGCACAUGUUAAGGAGAAGAUUAUUCGGAUGUUCAAUGGAGAGCAUAUAAACAGCACAGAAAACAGACCCGUUCUUCAUGUUGCACUGCGUGCUCCAAGGGAUGCAGUCAUAAAUAGUGACGGGAAGAAUGUUGUUCCUGAGGUUUGGCAUGUACUUGAUAAGAUCCGAGACUUCUCUGAGAGGGUUCGCAGUGGUUCCUGGGUUGGAGCCACAGGAAAAGCAUUGAAAGAUGUUGUAGCUGUUGGUAUAGGUGGCAGUUUCUUGGGCCCUUUGUUCGUACACACAGCACUUCAAACAGAAGCGGAGGCUAGUGAGUGUGCAAGAGGGCGCCAGUUGCGAUUUCUCGCGAAUGUUGAUCCAAUUGAUGUAGCCCGAAAUAUAACAGGCUUGAAUCCUGAAACAACUCUAGUUGUGGUGGUCUCAAAGACUUUUACUACAGCCGAGACAAUGCUAAAUGCCCGUACAAUGAGGGAAUGGAUCUCCUCUGCAUUAGGACCUCAGGCAGUUGCAAAGCAUAUGGUUGCAGUUAGUACCAAUCUUAAGCUCGUAGAACAAUUUGGCAUUGAUCCAAAUAAUGCAUUCGCUUUCUGGGACUGGGUAGGAGGUCGAUUUAGUGUCUGCAGUGCAGUUGGAGUAUUGCCUCUUUCUCUGCAAUAUGGUUUUUCCAUUGUUGAGAAAUUUCUGAAGGGAGCUUCAAGUGUUGAUCAGCAUUUCCUCUCAGCACCAUUUGAGAAAAAUAUACCUGUGCUUUUAGGCUUGCUGAGUGUGUGGAAUGUUUCAUUCCUUGGAUAUCCAGCAAGAGCAAUAUUACCCUAUUCUCAAGCACUGGAGAAGUUGGCACCUCAUAUUCAACAGGUCAGUAUGGAGAGUAAUGGGAAAGGGGUGUCAAUUGAUGGUGUCCCUCUUCCUUAUCAGACUGGUGAAAUUGACUUUGGUGAACCAGGGACGAAUGGCCAACACAGCUUUUACCAAUUAAUUCACCAG
RNAcentral lists this unclassified non-coding RNA (1264 nucleotides) under Hevea brasiliensis (rubber tree). Lineage: Eukaryota; Viridiplantae; Streptophyta; Magnoliopsida; Malpighiales; Euphorbiaceae. The record is from RNAcentral.